This 253-nucleotide ribosomal RNA is filed under the name uncultured bacterium. Its description in RNAcentral is "partial 16S ribosomal RNA". It matches the Rfam family "Bacterial small subunit ribosomal RNA", at positions 524 to 776 of the family's 1533-position model. The record is from RNAcentral.
GACGAACCGAGCGAACGUUUUUCGGAAUCACUGGGCUUAAAGGGCGCGUAGGCGGGCUGUCAAGUCUGGGGUGAAAUCCCGCGGCUCAACCGUGGAACUGCCUCAGAUACUGACGGCCUCGAGGGGGGUAGGGGCGAGCGGAACUAAUGGUGGAGCGGUGAAAUGCGUUGAUAUCAUUAGGAACUCCGGUGGCGAAGGCGGCUCGCUGGACCUUUUCUGACGCUGAGGCGCGAAAGCUAGGGGAGCAAACGGG